AACGAACGCUGGCGGCGUGGAUAAGACAUGCAAGUCGAACGGGACUAAAUCUGUAGCAAUACAGGUUUAGUUUAGUGGCGAACGGGUGCGUAACACGUGGGCAAUCUGCCGAGAAGUGGGGGAUAGCUCGCCGAAAGGCGAAUUAAUACCGCAUAUGAUCAGCUAAGACAUCUUAGCGACAUCAAAGCCGGGGAUCGAAAGACCUGGCGCUUCUUGAUGAGCCCGCGGCCUAUCAGCUAGUUGGUGAGGUAACGCUCACCAAGGCUAUGACGGGUAGCUGGUCUGAGAGGACGACCAGUCACACUGGAACUGAGACACGGUCC
This 323-nucleotide ribosomal RNA is filed under the name uncultured bacterium. RNAcentral's name for it is "bacterial SSU rRNA". It matches the Rfam family "Bacterial small subunit ribosomal RNA", at positions 29 to 332 of the family's 1533-position model. The record is from RNAcentral.